RNAcentral lists this ribosomal RNA (557 nucleotides) under uncultured bacterium. Its description in RNAcentral is "bacterial SSU rRNA". It matches the Rfam family "Bacterial small subunit ribosomal RNA", at positions 28 to 625 of the family's 1533-position model. The record is from RNAcentral.
GAUGAACGCUGGCGGUAUGCCUAACACAUGCAAGUCGUACGAGAGUUUUUAACUCAAGUGGCGGACGGGUGAGUAACACGUGAGUAUUUACCUUUAGGAGGGGGACAACAAUUGGAAACGAUUGCUAAUACCCCAUAUGCUUUAGAGUGAAAUGGAUUUAUCCGCCUAAAGAAAAGCUCGCGGCUGAUUAGCUAGUUGGUAAGGUAAUGGCUUACCAAGGCGACGAUCAGUAUCUGGUUUGAGAGGACGAUCAGACACACUGGAACUGAGACACGGUCCAGACUCCUACGGGAGGCAGCAGUGGGGAAUUUUCCGCAAUGGGCGAAAGCCUGACGGAGCAAUACCGCGUGAGGGAAGACUGCCUAUGGGUUGUAAACCUCUUUUUUCAGGGAGGAAUAAAUGACGUGUACCUGAAGAAUAAGCAUCGGCUAACUCCGUGCCAGCAGCCGCGGUAAGACGGAGGAUGCAAGUGUUAUCCGGAAUCACUGGGCGUAAAGCGUCUGUAGGUGGUUAGGUAAGUCAACUGUUAAAUCUUGAGGCUCAACCUCAAAAUCGCA